GCUUGGAGAGGCAGCCAGUGAGAAGUGAUGCAAGCAUGGAGCAGGUCCGAUCCCGGGAGGGUCUGCACCUCCAUCUCUAUGAUUACAGUUGCAGAAAAUGCAUGGAAUGUGGUUAUGGUGCUGUCUGCAUUCAGAUGUAAUGCUGCUACAGAAAAACAUCAGUUGCAAUGGUGAAACUCAUUUGAAUCAAAGGUUCAAACUGGAUUUUGGCAAGGUAAACCUCAGGUCGCUUUUUCCUCGAAACCACAGUUGCACACAUUCGGAUGUUCACAAAUUCAAUCCUCUGCCCCAUUUAACUGUGGCUUCAUGUUACGUGCGAAUGCAGCCACCAACCAAGCAAGUUCAACCCAGCACCCCCUUCAGGACAAUAUCAGGAAAGGAAAGGCAGAGGUUUGAAACACCAUGCCUGUGACUGCCCAGAGGUCAGCCAAUUUCUUCAGAAAAGCCAGAUUGUCAUUCAAAGCGUCCCUUUAAUUAAGCGAUCAGACGAGCUAGAGCGUGAAUAACAACGUGCUAAUUCAUGCCUAACAAGUUAGGCAUCAGGCCAAGAAAGAGCCUCUUACUGCAAUUAAAAAAAUUCAUUAAAAU
Molecule: long non-coding RNA, 588 nt
Organism: Hemicordylus capensis (graceful crag lizard)
Lineage: Eukaryota; Metazoa; Chordata; Lepidosauria; Squamata; Cordylidae
Exons: 3
Source: RefSeq, a predicted model, not a curated record